AGCAUCCUUUGUUGUUCAUGCACACGCAAUAAUGUUCAUUCAGUCUGAUGGAAUUGCGUGUAAUUCGAAUGACCUAGGACAAACCAAAGAGGACAACAAUUCUUGGAACACGAUGAUGACCACGAUGAGGGCAUCAGGCAACAAAAUUGGUAGCGGUGAAGGGCCGUGCUAUCUAGAUCCCUGUUCUAAACUGUACUGCUGCAGAAAGACUAAAAAGUGCUUUAUGAGCUUGGUGAUUUGCUUGGCGAAUUGCUAUCCAUGAUACUGUGGAUGGUGGAAAGGACAAGUGGCAUGAACGUGAUAAAAUGUAAUCUAAAGUAUUCUGAAUUAUUAUGUGUUUCUUUAUACAAAAGAUGCAUUGUCAUUA
This 367-nucleotide long non-coding RNA is filed under the name Sorghum bicolor (sorghum). RNAcentral's name for it is "long non-coding RNA (SBIC_LNC011625)". Lineage: Eukaryota; Viridiplantae; Streptophyta; Magnoliopsida; Poales; Poaceae. The record is from RNAcentral.